AGCUGCGUGGUGAGCACAAAGCGAACUAUUCUUUCGCCUUUUACUAAAGAAUAACUAAGCAGCAUACCCUAAUUUUUGAAGGGUGUCUUCUCCUUGUGAGAAGGC
RNAcentral lists this small nuclear RNA (105 nucleotides) under Triticum aestivum (bread wheat). RNAcentral's name for it is "U5 spliceosomal RNA". It matches the Rfam family "U5 spliceosomal RNA". From Rfam's summary of the family: U5 RNA is a component of both types of known spliceosome. The precise function of this molecule is unknown, though it is known that the 5' loop is required for splice site selection and p220 binding, and that both the 3' stem-loop and the Sm site are important for Sm protein binding and cap methylation. The record is from Rfam by way of RNAcentral. Lineage: Eukaryota; Viridiplantae; Streptophyta; Magnoliopsida; Poales; Poaceae.